UUCCCUUAUAAUGAUAAUCUUUUUUAUGCUUUUUAAUAUUUGUCCUGUAAUAGAUUAAAUCACAUAAUUUAAAUCAAAGCAACUCUGAUAUAUGUCUGUCUGUUUAUGUGUUUACAAAUUCCAUCAUUUAGUAAUUAUUUACUUGCAUUUCUUGGCUUUUGGAAAUGCGUAUCAUCACUUUGCUUAUAUCCAGCCAUCCAUCUUGUUUCUUUCAUAACUUACCAAGUCCUUCCUCGCUCUCCAGGCCUCAGCAUCACCAGACCUUGGGAGCAGCAGCCCAGUGCCAACACCAGGCCACAAGACCCCAGGCUGCCCAGCACACUGCCAGUGCCGGGGAUCUUCAGACCCGUCUCCAGCCUUAGGGAAUGGAGGGCGGAGGGCUGCAGUGGCGGUGGCGGCUAUAGUAAUGUAUUUGAGUCAACAAGAGGAAGAAGAAGAAGGAGGAGGAGGAAUUGAUAAUAAGAGGAAUACCAAAAGAAGAACAAGAAUUUGAACAGUAGUAAUAGUAUUUGACUCUACACAUUCUCUCUCUCUCUCUCUCUCUCUCUCUCUCUCUCACACACACACACACACACA
This is a long non-coding RNA of Eriocheir sinensis (Chinese mitten crab), 576 nucleotides long. RefSeq lists it as uncharacterized. The record is from RefSeq and is a predicted model, not a curated record. The transcript has 2 exons. Lineage: Eukaryota; Metazoa; Arthropoda; Malacostraca; Decapoda; Varunidae.